This 585-nucleotide ribosomal RNA is filed under the name Triticum aestivum (bread wheat). RNAcentral describes it as "partial small subunit ribosomal RNA". The record is from RNAcentral. Lineage: Eukaryota; Viridiplantae; Streptophyta; Magnoliopsida; Poales; Poaceae.
AUGGCAAUAUUCAAGAAGAACACAAGUGCCCAGUGCUUGUUGGCUCUUGUGCUCAUCGCUACUGUCAUUUCGUCUUGUUAUGCGUUUGGUCCAGUGCCAUCCAGUGUCGUGCACUACAUUAUCCGCCCUCCUCCAUCUUCAUCCACGUCAGUGCACUAUGCUCCACCCCCGGAGGACGAAUGCUUUCCCGCUGCUGCUGACUUCGAGUUCGCCUCACGCCAUGGCCGCGAUGGCGCUGAUGCCCCUACCAUGAUCUCCGGCACAGAGCUAUUUCGCUCCGGUGGCAUCUGCGUUGGCUACCUCUCCCCAUCCGCCAAGAAACGGCUCACGAGGAGUUGGGAGGCCUCGACCACCAUGUGCGGCGGCAUCACUUGGUCAUUUUGGCUCCGAGGGGGAAGUGGCCGGCUGGGCAUUGCGGCUCAUAGGUGGAAGCGGAGGUCUAUAGACAAAAGCAAAAAGAAAAACAGAAAAAAGGAGGUUGUGCCACCCGUGCUCCUGGGCCGGCUCAUCCCCUUCAAGGAGGGUUCCUACUUUGUCGCUGAAAGGGAGCAGAGCUCGUAUACAGCGCUGCAGGCGCCCAUUUAA